RNAcentral lists this ribosomal RNA (150 nucleotides) under uncultured eukaryote. RNAcentral describes it as "partial small subunit ribosomal RNA". It matches the Rfam family "Eukaryotic small subunit ribosomal RNA", at positions 1651 to 1796 of the family's 1831-position model. The record is from RNAcentral.
CCCUGCCAUUUGUACACACCGCCCGUCGCUCCUACCGAUUGAAUGAUCUGGUGAAGUGUUCAGAUUGCGUCGACGAUGGCGGUUCGCUGCCGUCGACGUUGUGAGAAGUUCAUUGAACCUUAUCAUUUAGAGGAAGGAGAAGUCGUAACA